This 439-nucleotide ribosomal RNA is filed under the name uncultured bacterium. RNAcentral describes it as "partial 16S ribosomal RNA". It matches the Rfam family "Bacterial small subunit ribosomal RNA", at positions 339 to 795 of the family's 1533-position model. The record is from RNAcentral.
CUACGGGGUGCUGCAGUGGGGAAUAUUGGACAAUGGGCGAAAGCCUGAUCCAGCCAUGCCGCGUGAGUGAUGAAGGCCCUAGGGUUGUAAAGCUCUUUCGCCAGGGACGAUAAUGACGGUACCUGGAUAAGAAGCCCCGGCUAACUUCGUGCCAGCAGCCGCGGUAAUACGAAGGGGGCUAGCGUUGUUCGGAAUCACUGGGCGUAAAGCGCACGUAGGCGGAUCUUUAAGUCAGGGGUGAAAUCCCGAGGCUCAACCUCGGAACUGCCUUUGAGACUGGAGGUCUCGAGUCCGGGAGAGGUGAGUGGAACUGCGAGUGUAGAGGUGAAAUUCGUAGAUAUUCGCAAGAACACCAGUGGCGAAGGCGGCUCACUGGCCCGGUACUGACGCUGAGGUGCGAAAGCGUGGGGAGCAAACAGGAUUAGAUACCCGAGUAGUC